Molecule: long non-coding RNA, 556 nt
Filed under: Durio zibethinus
Lineage: Eukaryota; Viridiplantae; Streptophyta; Magnoliopsida; Malvales; Malvaceae
Description: long non-coding RNA (DZIB_LNC002171)
Source: RNAcentral
UCAAAUCAUUUUAUAAGAAUACCCAAUAAAGACGCUUAAAAAUCCAAAGUGUAAAUGUAAAAUCCAAAAUUCUCUUGAAACUCAAAUUUAUUAUUAAAAUUGAAUUAAUUUAAAAAUCCAAAAAAUGAAGAAAAAAAAGCUGGAGGAUUGUGCUUUGUACGAUUGCCACUCUGCACGCUGCCUGCCCUCCUACUGCCAGCUUACUUUGCCAAGCAACCUCUUCUUACACAGCAUCUCCCUUUCCUUUCUGAUCCUUCCAGUGAUGCCAAUGGGUAUAUAAAACUGCCAAAGAAUCUCUUACUAUCACCAGCUUUCACCACCAAUCCACCACAACCAACACAUUCGGCCACCGCUACAUUAGCCUCCACUCCUCCCCAUGGUUUGCGAUUCUUACCAUCCCCAACACCAAAAUUCAAGACUGAGACCUUUACCAACAACCACUGAAACAAUCCCUAAACCCAUUCGACCACCACUGAAACCAACCCCCACGACACCAAUUUACCACCCUCUGCUUCUAGCCAAAGCUACUAGUUGAAAUCACCCACAUCCGAAAACA